Molecule: long non-coding RNA, 1017 nt
Organism: Trichomycterus rosablanca
Lineage: Eukaryota; Metazoa; Chordata; Actinopteri; Siluriformes; Trichomycteridae
Exons: 3
Source: RefSeq, a predicted model, not a curated record
CAAACUGGCAGAUCUGGAAUUAAAGGACUGAGCAGGAAUGGUGCAGGCAAAGAAAAGAGAGAAACGAUGUUGGUGUUUGUGUAUUGCAGAGUGGGGCCCAUAUUACCAGCUAUGGGGAGGAGGUUCAUGGAUGCGGAGAGGGAGGACCGUUCAGGACAGGAGCAGCCAAAAGAAGAAGAGGUAGAAGAUUAAGUAGAAAAAGAGGACAAAGUAGUAGUAGUAGAAGAAAAAGAAUUAGAAAAAGAACUAAAAGUAAGUAAAAGAAGAAUAUGUAGAUGAAAUAUAAAAAGAAGUAGAUGAUGAUGGUGGAACUAAUAGAAGAGGAAAACGCAGUGAAAGAAAAAUAAGUAAAAAAAGAAGAAGAACAAGUAGAAGUAGAAGAACUAAAAGAAGUGGAGGAGGAAGAAGAAGUAGAAAAAGAACUGAAAGAAGAAAAAUAAGUUUAAAAAAAGAUAAGAAAUAAAAGAAAAGAGGUAGUAGAAGAAAAAGAAAAAAAGAAGAAAAAGAAGUUAAAGACGAUGAAGUGGAAGAAGCAAAAAAGAAAUAAAAGAAGAUGAAAAAGAAGAGGAAAAGAAAAAAUCUGCUAUCUGCUGACCAGCUUCCUCCAGACUCGAAUGAGCUUCAUCCAGCUGCUUCUCCAUCUAACAGGGGGAGGAAACAUCACAGAACAUCACAGAACAUCACUCACUUAGACCUACAGACAAUUCGGAGGAGCCAGUCUACUGGUGUUAUGUAGAAAGCGUGAUCUUUCUCCUCCUGGUGUCUCUGGCUCUGCUGUAGAGCCGCUGACGCUCUCCGCUGAAGGUUCUGCACUACCGGAUUCGUCCUCCGGAGGAGCCGCCGAGCUUCAUACAGCUAACGAACACAGACACGCCCGGGUGAGAUGCUGAAGGUGUGAACGUGCAGUACUACAAGCGCCUGUAUGUGGCGCUGCAUUCCGUCCUGGAAAUGCAUGUGUGUGACUGUUCAGUGUACUGAGGCUGUAACUUCUGUUCGGAUGGUUUGGAUGAAGUGGAG